Molecule: ribosomal RNA, 458 nt
Filed under: uncultured bacterium
Lineage: Bacteria
Description: bacterial SSU rRNA
Rfam family: Bacterial small subunit ribosomal RNA
Source: RNAcentral
CCUAACACAUGCAAGUCGAACGCUCUKAUUUUCGCAAGAAGUAUCAGGGAGUGGCGAACGGCUGAGUAACACGUAAGUAACCUAUCCUUAAGUGGGGGAUAACCUGUCGAAAGGCAGGCUAAUACCGCAUGUGCUGGUAGACAUUGGUUUAUCAGGAAAGGUUUUUCGCUUGAGGAGGGGCUUGCGUCUGAUUAGCUAGUUGGAAGGGUAAUGGCCUACCAAGGCGAUGAUCAGUAGCUGGUCUGAGAGGACAACCAGCCAGACGGGGACUGAGAUACGGCCCUGACUCCUMSGGAGGCAGCAGCAAGGAAUUUUGCGCAAUGGGCGAAAGCCUGACGCAGCGACGCCGCGUGGGGGAUGAAGACCUUCGGGUUGUAAAGCCCUUUUCUGGGGGAAGAGGAAGGACGGUMCCCMRGAAUAAGUCUCGGCUAACUACGUGCCAGCAGCCGCGGUAAUAC